Molecule: transfer RNA, 72 nt
Filed under: Camelus bactrianus (Bactrian camel)
Lineage: Eukaryota; Metazoa; Chordata; Mammalia; Artiodactyla; Camelidae
Also listed under: 2 other names
Rfam family: tRNA
About the family: Transfer RNA (tRNA) molecules are approximately 80 nucleotides in length. Their secondary structure includes four short double-helical elements and three loops (D, anti-codon, and T loops).
Source: Rfam by way of RNAcentral
GAGGGUAUAUCUCAGUGGUAAAGCACGUGCUUAGCAGGCACGAGGUCCUGGGUUCAAUCCCCAGCACCUCCA